AUUGUGGUUACCAUGAGUUGAUGGUGGAUGCCUUGGAAGGCUGAGGCGAAGAAGGACGUGGCGUGACUGCGAUAAGCCUCGGGGAGGUGUCAAGCAACCUUUGAUCCGGGGAUGUCCGAAUGGGGAAACCUAACUCGAUUAAAAUCGGGUUGCCCGACCCGCAAGGGUCAGGGCGCGCACCCGGGGAAGCAAAACAUUCCAGUACCCGGAGGAAAAUAAAACAAUUGUUAGUCCCUUAGUAGCGGCGAGCGAAAAGGGAAAUAGCCCAGAUCGAGCAUAUAAUUUAUGUGCUUGAAGUUAAAAGAGUGAGGCGCGGGAAAUUUUCUCCUUUACCCCGAGAUUUUCGAGGGGCAGAGAGAAAGUUUCUCAAGAAGUUACAAAAUUGAUGGUUAGCCGAAAUCUCCUGGAAAGAGAUACCAAAGAGGGUAAUAGUCCCGUAGGCGAAAAUCAAUCAAUCUUCUAGUCUCUUUUCUUAAGUACUAUGAGGUAUGAUAACCUUCGUAGGAAGUCGGUGGAACUACACCACCAAGGCUAAAUACUCAGCCUUACCGAU
Molecule: ribosomal RNA, 553 nt
Filed under: bacterium
Lineage: Bacteria
Description: partial 23S ribosomal RNA
Rfam family: Bacterial large subunit ribosomal RNA
Source: RNAcentral